RNAcentral lists this long non-coding RNA (606 nucleotides) under Numida meleagris (helmeted guineafowl). RNAcentral's name for it is "lncRNA (ENSNMEG00000010684.1)". Lineage: Eukaryota; Metazoa; Chordata; Aves; Galliformes; Numididae. The record is from RNAcentral.
CAGACCUUUCCCUCCACUGUCAAAUCAUUUUGUACUGCUCUUGCUUACCACGGAGUCCAGAAAAUCUGAUUGUAAAGUAUGUUGGAAACUAAGUUAUGCAGGAAGAGUGAGAGGAGAGCUGGAUCAAGUGGAAACAAUAUUUUAGCACAUGACCAGAACAACCUACAUCAGCUCCCUGCCUGAGGAAAGACAGUUCAGUAAAAAUGAUGAGAACAAAAGUGAUGCUGUUGGAGACUGCACUGUUGAUGAGGCUUGUGUAACUGCAGUGUUUUGUCAGCUAAUCCAUAUCGCCAGCACUGAGACUGAGGCUGGAUCAUCACGUCAACACUUAGUAUGUGGAGUGAGAGCAGCUUAAUCUCAGUCUUAAAAGCAUUGAAGCUUUCUCUACCUUGCACUUAAAGGCUCUUUGCGUUUCCCACCAAACCAGAGGAAGAUUUUUUCCUGGCCUUGCUGGAACAAUUUUCAAGCAGUGAAGAAUCAUUCCCUCCAGAAACAUCUCAUUUCACAGCUGAGAGAAGCACUUCUGAAAGUUACACCAUCUGUAAAAUAUUUGUACCUUAAGCUCUCUAAAAUAAAGAGUUAGCCCUACUACGUAGGGAUAAUGUA